RNAcentral lists this long non-coding RNA (7978 nucleotides) under Vigna radiata. RNAcentral's name for it is "long non-coding RNA (VRAD_LNC011117)". Lineage: Eukaryota; Viridiplantae; Streptophyta; Magnoliopsida; Fabales; Fabaceae. The record is from RNAcentral.
GGGGGUGAAUUGGUGUAAAUAAAAAAUCAGAGUCUUUUCAAAAUCUUUUUUGCAAAGUAUAAAACUUUCAAAAGUUUCUUGAAUCUCGUAUGAAAAAGAUAAAUCAGUGCAGCGGAAAAUAGUUGAUUAUACUAAAAAUAAAGUCGACUUGAAAGUAAAGAGAUCGGGGAUAGAAAAUUCAAACACAGUUUUUAUACUGGUUCGGCCAAAUUGUCUACAUCUAGUGUCCUUUCUGUACCCGGAAGCCAAUGCACUAUAAUGGUCAAGGUUUUUACAACAAGGUUUCUAUAGAGACCUCCACGUCAAAAUAUAAAACACCUCUUUAACCCUCUAACCAAAAUAUAGGCAUACAACACCCACGAAACAACAACAAGAUAUUCUCUCUCCUGUAGUCUUUGUAAACUUUGAACAGUGCUCAAAGUUCCCAGAACGCAGCACAUCCUCUUCUGUAAUCACAACAGGGCAGCACAAUCUUCACAAGAUUAAGAGAAGUAGAUGAUCACGUUUCCAAAACACCUCAAUGUGCAGUAUGAUUAAGUCUUUCUUUCAGCACGACAACCUUGCCCUUCAAGCAACUAUCAAAGAACGAUCUCCACGGUAUUCUUGAUAAGUUCUUGGAGCUUUUCAUAGAGAUCAAAACUUGAAACAAUAGAAUGAAAAUGUUAGAAUAAGCAAAGUCUCUGUGGCAUACAGAAUCACGUUUAUUUAUAGUUUUCUGUUAAACAGACACUCAUGUAGUCGACUUCACUACUAAUACAGUCAACUUCAGUCAGACAGUUAAAACAGUUAUAUCAUUUAGUAGCAGUCAGAUCAACCAAAUUGAUUAAUCAUUUAAUUUAGUUGACUAGAAAUUAAUGCUUGGUCAAAGAAACAAAAUAUAGUCGUUAUAGUUCACAAGCAUCAACAGAAAUUCAAAACAUAACUAACUAAGUCGAGUAGUCUGCAGAUACAGUCGACUAUGUCACUUCAAUGCAGUUUUGAAAAUCUUUCAUGCAAAAAUAAUCAUAGAAUUGUUUUUGAAAAUCUGUUCAAAGUCAUGAGUUUUAAUCGACUUGCUUCAUAAUGAAGUCGACUUAAAACUUGCAGUUUUGUCACACAAUAUAAGUUCAACUAAGUGCAUGUGGUUUUCUUUUCUAAAACAUAUGUUAUGCAAUCACAGAUGAUAUCUCAUGUGAAACAGUGAAUAUGCACACAUAUAUAGAAUCAACACAAACAUGUUCUUCAAAAAUUCAUACACAAGAAAGUUUUGAACAUGUAACACAAAUAUAACAUGUGUUAUUAAUAAUGUGUUGUCAUCAUAAAAAACUAGAAACAUUGUGAGAUUAAGGUUGAUCUAAACCAAUGCUUACCUUAUCAACAAUCUCAACAAUCUCCCCCUUUCUUUAUGAUGCACAACCAUGAUUAAUAAACAACCAUGUUUGUACACAACAACUUUUAAAAUCAAUCAUAUAAUCAAACUAUAUUAGAGCUCAUAUAACCAAACUGUAUCAGAGCAAGUGAUUAAAUGAUUUUAUCAAUAUAUCAGAGCAAACAAAUGAAGUCUUUCUCAAAUUCAAAACAAAUAUAUCAGAGUCACAAAGACAACAUAUAUCCUUUUUAUCAAAACAGUCAAACUUUUCUCCCCCUUUGUGCAUUAGCAAAAAAGGUACUCUCUUAUGAUAAAGAUAUGGUGAUAAAUGAUUUUCGAGAGAUGAAUCAAUAUAAACAUAUUAAUCAAUCAAAGAUGCUCCCCUGACACAGAUAAUCACAUGAUAAAGAAAUAAUCUCCCCCUAAAGUGUAGGCAUGUGAAAUAUCCAAACUAUCAUGUAAUACUCCCCUUGUUAUUAUGCAUGUCUUAUAAUCAAAAAUCAAAUGCACAAUGUAGAUAUCACAGAUUUCAAAGCAUAUAAAAGCAUGUAUCAGAAUUGUAUCAGAAACAGAAUUGCAAACAAUUCAAUCAAGCAUAGAUACAAUCAAUCAACAAUAUCACAAUAUAAUCUUGCAGAUAUAUCAAUCAAUUAUAAAGCAGAGAUAUAUUGAAAGAAAACAAUAUAGAAUAUGACCAAAUAAUAGUAUAACCAAAUUCCAAAUCAUGGAAUUUAUAACCCCUGUUAACCAAUAGUCGAUUGAUCCAUAUUCUCAGUCGAUUUUCAUUACUCUCCAAGUAAGUUGAGAUUCCAGUAGUAUGUCCAGAAGCAAUGUUGCCUGUAAAACCUUUCAAGAUCUUUUGAAGAUCAAGCAUUUUAGAAUCAUUUAAAUGCAAGAAAGUAAUACAGAUAUGAACUGAAUAUGCAAAAGAGUUAAUGUAACAGUAAAUAUAUGCAUAAUCAUCUUCAUUAGUCACAAAGCAGGUAGAAUUAAAAUUGAAACAACUGAUUUCAUUGAUAUAUCAAAAGGUAUUACAACCUGAUUAGACCACUAGACAGACAAAAUGGCAAGCUAAACCAUUUUCAGAAUAUACUAAGACAAAAUGAGAUAAUUAUCAAACAAAGUUUAACUAAACCAGAACACACUGAUGCAAAGACAACAAGCAAGAUUUCCUAACAUCCCUCAGAAAGAUUCCAUUGAAUCCUCAUCAGAUGAACUUUCCUCCUCUUGUUGUUGAACAACACCAUGUUCUCUUGCAAACUUGUCAAACUUGUCAUGUAAAAUUAUGAUUUGUUCAGCAAUGUAUCUUUCAAAAUUUGUUUCAAGGAAGAAAUUUGUCUGUUCCUCAAUUGCAGCUGGUGUGCUCCCUGUGCUAUACCGAGAAUUAUCUUCACCCAUGAAGCUUCAUCCAUUUAUGGCCUUUACCAAGCUAAGAGACGUGACAAAGUCUCGAUCAAAAACAUUUGAAGAGUUCUAGAAGUACUUUUGCUCAUUGCUAAUUUCAACUCCUUGCAGCACAAGCACUUUGCUUAUAAAAGCAGCAUAUGGCAGAUAAAGUGAUCUUUAUAGUGCAACACUCUUCAUGUGAUCUUUUACAACUUGUAACUAGUUUAUGGGUAUGUUGUUUUUAAUUGUGUGAAGCAAAUAAAUGUCUUCAGUGGUCAUCUUAUGUUUUCUCAUUCUUCUUGGUAGAAUUAUCCAAGCUAGAAAAUAAGCAACGAUCUUUUCUUCCUUCAAUAGUCCUUCAAGCGCAAAGAUCCUUUUAGUAGAAUACCUUCCAAGAAACCUUAACCAAUCUUUGUAUAGCCUUAUCUUGUUAAGCAAAGCAUUAGCUUCAACAGAUGGUAAGUGUGAAGAAGCUCCCUCAGACGGUAAAUUUGUAAUGCUAUUCCACAUAAAAUCAUCAAUCUGAAUGUCAAUACCUUUCACUCUGGAGUGUACGUCGUCAUUUACUACCUUCAAAUUGUGAUAGAACACAUUCACUAGGUUCGGAUACCAAUAUCCUUUCAUCUGCACAAAGAUGGAUAAUCCUUGUCUUUCAACCCAGUCAGGAAACAUGAAUCCCUCUGAUAAGGACAUAUUUUACCAUGAUUUCAGUAAUGAAUUAAGAGAAAAUGUCAACUCUUCCUUAACCUUUUGCCUUGUAAAUCUUGGUUUCCUCUUAGUUUGUUAAGUGGUUGCACUUUAAGCUUUAAUGAAAUAUUUUGAUCAUUAAUCCCUGCUUUUAUGUGCUUAAUGUAACGCCCCUCCAACUUACAGGGACUGUUGACUGCCUCCACACAUCAACACGAGGCUUUCCAGUGUGCUUUGUGCUUACUCACACACUUUUCGAGAAAACUUCCCGGAAAGUCAUCCAUCCCAUAAUUACUCUAGGCUAAGCACGCUUAACCAUGAAGUUCUUAUGAGUUAGGCUACCGAAAAGCAAAUGCAUUUGUUGAUAUGAGUAGUUAAAUCAAUUCCUUUAUGUUAUCCUUCAACAGUAUAGUCCCAUACCUAUACAGUCUCUAGAUCCCUCUCAUUCCGGUGUAUGUUCGAUUCGUCCAUGUGCCCCUUCCACUCGAAGCCUGCCAGGAGUCGCUCUUUGUCCAUGCCUCUUGCACCGGCGAUCACUCUCCGCCCUCGUCAGCGCCCAGGCGUCACACUUAAAGUAGUUAGAAGAAAUCUAUGCAUCAAAUGAAGGCGUUGGAACCCAAAGAACGCAAGAAAAAUAGCAAAAUAGUUGAAUUUUGGAAUGUUGCCGCUGGGGAGCAGUUGAGCGCCCUGCUCUCUAGAAGGUUGCCGCUGGGAUGCAGCUGGGGUGCAGCUGAGCGCCCAACUCUCUGGAAGUCUGCAGUUGGGCUAUAGCUGGGGUGCAGCUGAGCAGUGGCAAUGCUUAUGUGGAAAAAAUAGGUCUUUCUAGGCCUAAAAUGCGAAGAGGUCUCGAUCUUUUGCUGCCCAAAACACGAUUCCUCACAUUUAGAGCUCUUGGAGGCGAGCUAGGAGCUGUAGGAACAGUCCUUCUUCAUCCUUGGGUCUUCUUUCUUCUUCCAUCUCCACCAUUGUUGUAAGCUUGAGUUCUCCAUUCAUGGAGAGCUAGUUUAUUAUUGUUGGGGAUUAAUGUAGCCACUGAACUAUUGUGUAAACUAUUGUGUUUUGAAUGAAUAUAUGCCUCUUUCAUUGAUUGUUAGUGUUUAAUUCCUUCUCUUAAUGCUUGUUGUGAAGUUGUUACCCAUAACAUGAUUUUAGGGUUUGCUUGAUAUUUGGAAAUGUUGGGUAAAUCUUGACUUGGGUUAAACACCUAAAGGAAAUAGUAUAUAGAGAUAGGACUGGGACCUUUGGUUGUCUUAAAAUCUCAUUUCUUAUUGCGGAAAUAAUUCUUAGGUUUUCCAAGGGAUUGAAGCCUAAUAAGGAAGUCUAGGCUCUUUCUACAAAGGGAUUGGGGUUUAAGUAAAUUAGUAGAUUGACAUUGACAUAUUAAUGAAGAGGAAGUGAUUUUCUAUACAUAAGAGUGAAGUAGGUGAAAUCAUACCCCCAACAAUAUCAUUCCAUAUCAUUUCUAAUCAUUCCAUUUCAAAGUGUUUGAGUACUUAAGAUCACUCUUAUCAUUUAUGGUUCAUAGUUACUUUAAUUGUACCAAAACUAAAUUUAUGGAAGCAUAGGUUAGUUAGAAAUUAUACGAUUGUCUAAUGAAACGAGUCUCUUGGGAAACGAUAUCCGGUCUUACCGGUUUUAUUACUUGAACGAUUUGGUACACUUGCCAAAGUCUCAACACCCUCCUUCUCAAACAUAUUCAGAUUCAGAUUCAUUGGAGUAGCGACAAUCUUGACAGUACCAUUCAGAAAUCUUUCCCUUGUUUCUUCAUCAUUGAUCCAUCCAAUGGGAUCAAAACUUCUUAUAGCAGUGACUCCUUUUCCCUUGUUUCCUUCAACAGCGUGACUUGUGGAUGCCAUAGAGUGUGGAUUCUUGGAAAUCUUCUUUCUCAGUCUAGGGUUUUAGGAAUUUGACAAAACACUUAGGCUAAUUUCUAUUUCAGUUCAAAGAAUGAGACGCACUAUAAAAAGGCGUGAACUACAUUCAACAAAAUUUUGCCCAUUUUGAAAUUUCAAAUUUAGAAAGCCCAAAACAGAGGUACAAAGUCAAUUUUAUAAAAUCUUAAGUUGACUAUUGUAUGACAGAGAGAUUUCAAAAAACAUAAUAGUACAUACAUAGACAUACAAUCAAUUGUGCUCAUAAUCCAGUCGAUUAAAAGACAUAAAGAUAAUUUUUCACAUCAAUACAGACAAACAAACAAUCAAUCAAUCAUACACACAAUCAAACAUCAUCAAUCAAACAACUUUUAUGCAUCACGCAGUAAGAUGAUAUCUUUUACUAGUUGAAGAUACUCAAGAAACUUGAUGUAAUCAUGUUAGUUCAUCCUUGAGUUCUCACUGCAUGUCACGGCAAUUGUUGCUAACCUGCAAACCAAUUCAAACUUUUUAAUGCAGGUACCCAUUUGAAUUUGGGUCCUUGAUUGUUAGUUAUAGCUAGAUGUUCCUUAGGAAUCCAUUUAUAUAAGCCUUUAGGAACACCAACCUUUUUGUAAAAGCAAUUUCUAAAAGUAUGACCAAUGUUAUUGCAGUAAAAGUAAGCAUGUUUAACAGGUUUACUCAAUUCAGUAAACUUCUUUGUAUUAGCCUUAUUAGAUUGAGCUUUAUAUCCAAUUCCUUGCCUAUAUAUAGCUUUACCUGAAGACUUUAAAAUAGCAUUCAAAUUAUCUCUAUCCUGUGUGAAUUUAGCUACCGUGCUAGUCAAGUAAUCUAUUUGUUCAACAUGAGUAGGACAUUUUUCACAUUUCUUUUCAAUAGUAAUAGUCUCAGUAAUUACUGUUUUAGCAGAUAAUAAAGCAACAUCUAAUUCCUUUUGUAAUUUCUCAUUAUCAUUGACAAGAUUGUUGAUUCUAUACUCAUAAUCAUUUUUCUCAGAGUUAAGUUGAUUAACCUUAUAUUGUAGUUGCGUUGCUUCAGCAUGUAUUUCCUAAAAUGCAUUCAGCAACAGGUCGUACUUCACCUCAAUCGAUUAUUUCUCAAACUAUGUAUCACUCUCAUAAUCUGCUAGUGAUGUUCCAACCAUGAAGCAUAUGUUUGAUUCCUCCUCACGAUCAAGAUCUUCAUCACUUGAGGAUUUUGAACCACUGUUUUCCCAGGCAAUAUAAGCACUCUUUUUCUUUCUGUUCUUUUCCUUAGGAAACCUCUUGUUAGCUUUCUGCUUCAACUUCAGAUCUAGACAAUUAGGCUUGAUGUGUCCUUCUUUGUCGUAUUCAUAACAUUGAAUUACAUUUGAUUGAAGCUUUCUUGGCUUUGCUAUUUCCUACAUGGUUACUAAGUUGACUAUUAUUCUUCAUAAAUCGAUUGAAUUUCCUUACCACCAUAGACAUCAGUUCAUUGUUGUCCAAUUCUGCAUCUGAAUCAUCCUCUGAUUGUGCAAUCUUUGCUGGUAACUUUCAAUGCUAUGGACUUCUUUUCGUCAAUCUUUUCCUCAUCUUUCAAUCUUCCAUGUUCAAAUUCAUGUUCUCUUAGCUUCCCAAACAAGGUAGCCAUGCUCAUGCUAGUAAGAUCCUUGGAUUCAUAGAUUGCAAUGAUUUUUGGUUGUUAGUUUCUAUUUAUACUUUUGAGAAUCUUGAUGUUGAUCUCCUCUUUCUCAAAAAAAAUUCCAAGAGCCAUUAGAUGGUUGACAAUAUGAAUGAACCUUUUCUGAACCUCAUAUAUGGUUUUACCUAUCCUCAUUCUGAAAAGUUCAUACUCUUGUAUCAAAGAAUUCUUUCUAGCUCUCUUAACCUCAUAAGUACCUUCAUGUGUGACUUCCAAGACAUCCCACAUUUCUUUAGCACUUUUGCAUUGAGAUAUCCUGAAAAAUUCAUCAACUGUUAGUGUAGAGGCAAUAAUAUUUCGUGCUUUAACAUCAUACUAUGCUUUACGAUUUUCAUCUUGAGACCACUCAGAAAAAAUUUUCAAAACAAUAUUUCCAUUAAUAACAUGAGUUGGCUUAAAAGGACCAUUUACUAUUGCAUCCCAAAUACCUCUAUCCAUGAAUUCAAGAAAAAUUUGCAUUCGAAUUUUCCAAAAAGGAUAGUUUUCAUCAACAAACAGUCGUGAUCUGUUUGUAGAUGCACCUUCACCAAAGGUCUGAAAACUAGAAGUCAUUUGCCAGGAAUACAAUCAAUUCAAAGAAAAAUGCAGUCGACUAGUUUUUUGAAUAUCUUAUGAAAAUCAGCUCUAGUGCCAAUUGUUGGAAAAAGAAUGGCCUUGCUUCAACACCAAGGGGGGUGAAUUGGUGUAAAUCAAAAAUCAAAGUCUUUUCAAAAUCUUUUUCGCAAAGCAUAAAACUUUCAAUAGUUUCUUAAAUCUCGUACGAAAAAUAUACAUCAGUGCAGCGAAAAAUAGUUGACUAUACUAAAAAUAAAGUCGACUUGAAAGUAAAGAGAUCAGGGAUAGAAAAUUCAAACACAGUUUCGAUACCGGUUUGGCCAAAAUGCCUACAUUUAGUGUCCUUCCUGUACCCGGAAGCAAAUGCACUAUAAUGGUCAAGGUUUUUACAACAAGGUUUUUGCACCUCUCAAACCCUCUAACCAAAAUAUAGGCAUACAACACCCAAAGAACAUUAGCAAGAUAUCCC